This 513-nucleotide ribosomal RNA is filed under the name uncultured bacterium. RNAcentral describes it as "bacterial SSU rRNA". It matches the Rfam family "Bacterial small subunit ribosomal RNA", at positions 791 to 1304 of the family's 1533-position model. The record is from RNAcentral.
UAGUCCACGCAGUAAACGAUAAAUGCUAGAUGUCGGGAAUUUAUUUUUCGGUUUCGAAGUUAACACGUUAAGCAUUUUGCCUGGGGAGUACGGCCGCAAGGCUAAAACUCAAAGGAAUUGACGGGGAUCCGCACAAGCGGUGGAGCAUGCGGUUUAAUUCGAUGCUACGCGAAAAACCUUACCAACCCUUGACAUGGUAGUCGUAGUCAGUAGAGAUAUUGACGUCAGUUCGGCUGGACUACACACAGGUGUUGCAUGGCUGUCGUCAGCUCGUGUCGUGAGAUGUUGGGUUAAGUCCCGCAACGAGCGCAACCCUUGUCUUUAGUUGCCAUCAUUAAGUUGGGCACUUUAAAGAGACUGCCGGUGACAAACCGGAGGAAGGUAAGGAUGACGUCAAGUCAGCAUGCCCCUUAUGCUCUGGGCUACACACGUGCUACAAUGGCCGUGACAAAGAGUUGCUACUUUGUGAAAACAAGCUAAUCUCAUAAACGCGGCCUCAGUUCGGAUUGCAGG